RNAcentral lists this ribosomal RNA (587 nucleotides) under Xylodon niemelaei. RNAcentral's name for it is "eukaryotic LSU rRNA". It matches the Rfam family "Eukaryotic large subunit ribosomal RNA", at positions 84 to 654 of the family's 3401-position model. The record is from RNAcentral. Lineage: Eukaryota; Fungi; Basidiomycota; Agaricomycetes; Hymenochaetales; Schizoporaceae.
UAACUGCGAGUGAAGCGGGAAAAGCUCAAAUUUAAAAUCUGGCAGUCUUACUGUCCCGAGUUGUAAUCUGGAGAAGCAUUUUCUGUGCUAGACCGUGUACAAGUCUCUUGGAAUAGAGCGUCAUAGAGGGUGAGAAUCCCGUCCAUGACACGGAUUACUAGUGCUUUGUGAUAUGCUCUCGAAGAGUCGAGUUGUUUGGGAAUGCAGCUCAAAAUGGGUGGUAAAUUCCAUCUAAAGCUAAAUAUUGGCGAGAGACCGAUAGCGAACAAGUACCGUGAGGGAAAGAUGAAAAGCACUUUGGAAAGAGAGUUAAACAGUACGUGAAAUUGUUGAAAGGGAAACGCUUGAAGUCAGUCGCGUUGUCUGAGACUCAGCCUUGCUUGCAUGGUGUACUUCUCAGUUAACGGGUCAACAUCAAUUUCAGUUGGUGGAUAAAGGCAUUGGGAAUGUGGCACCUUCGGGUGUGUUAUAGCCCUUUGUUGCAUACACUGACCGGGAUUGAGGAACGCAGCACGCCACUAAGGCCAGGGGUUCGCCCCAUGUAACGUGCUUAGGAUGUUGGCAUAAUGGCUUUAAGCGACCCGUCU